This 253-nucleotide ribosomal RNA is filed under the name uncultured bacterium. RNAcentral's name for it is "partial 16S ribosomal RNA". It matches the Rfam family "Bacterial small subunit ribosomal RNA", at positions 524 to 776 of the family's 1533-position model. The record is from RNAcentral.
UACGUAGGGGGCAAGCGUUGUCCGGAAUCAUUGGGCGUAAAGCGCGUGUAGGCGGUUCGGUAAGUCUGCUGUGAAAGUCCAGGGCUCAACCCUGGGAUGCCGGUGGAUACUGUCGGACUAGAGUACGGAAGAGGCGAGUGGAAUUCCCGGUGUAGCGGUGAAAUGCGCAGAUAUCGGGAGGAACACCGGUGGCGAAGGCGGUUCUCUGGGCCUGACCUGACGCUGAGGAGCGAAAGCGUGGGGAGCGAACAGG